AAGAAGUGACUCGAAAAAGUUUCAUAAAUUUGAUUACAGGAAUUACCACGACUUAUGGCCAAACGAUUUAUUUUGUGCAUACAUUGUUUGGCCAAGAUAAGAGUAAAAUGCAAGUACUUUUAAUUGUUUGUAACAGAGGAACACAAAUCGGAUUUUCAUUUCGAAAGUUACCUCGAUUUCCGGCCAAAAUAAAUUAAUUUUGUGCAUACAUUGUUUGGCCGAGAUAAGUAAAAUGUAACUACUUUUAAUUUUUUGUAACAGGGGAACACAAAUCGGAUUAUCAUUUCGAAAGUUACCUCGAUUUCUGGCCAAAAUAAAUUCAUUUUGUGCAGACAUUGUUUGGCCGAGAUAAGUAAAAUGUAAGAACAUAUGUUCAAUUUUGAAAUUGUAACAGGGGAACACAAAUCGGUAAGAAGUGACGCCAGAAAGUUCUAUACCUGCGAAUCUAGGAGAACACGAAUCGGUAGGAAGUGACUCGAGAAAGUUUCAUAAUUGCGAUUACAGGAAUUACCUCGACUUUUGGCGAAACGAUUUAUUUUGUGCAUACAUUGUUUGGCCCAGAUAAAAGUAACAUAUGGAAUUAUUUUUAAUUUUUUUAACAGGAGAACACGAAUCGAUAAGAAGUAACGGGAGGAAGAUUCAUAAUUGCGAUUAUAGUAAUCCCUAAAAAACCUUUUUAAAAAAAGAAAAACGGUGGAGUUCCGAAAAGGGUACGGCUCCGAUUUUAAUGUAACUUUGUAAAAAGCUUCCUCUCAGGUUGAAAUGAAAGUCUUUAAAAGGAUUUUUGGCGACUCUCAUAAAAAGGUCAUUUUUAAUAAGAAAUUCUCAGAAAAAUAACAAAGAUCUCUAUUUGUAUUUAAG
Ooceraea biroi (clonal raider ant) is the source of this 861-nucleotide long non-coding RNA. RefSeq lists it as uncharacterized. NCBI's taxonomy places the organism in Eukaryota, Metazoa, Arthropoda, Insecta, Hymenoptera, Formicidae. The record is from RefSeq and is a predicted model, not a curated record.